This 492-nucleotide ribosomal RNA is filed under the name uncultured bacterium. Its description in RNAcentral is "partial 16S ribosomal RNA". It matches the Rfam family "Bacterial small subunit ribosomal RNA", at positions 29 to 507 of the family's 1533-position model. The record is from RNAcentral.
AGUGAACGCUGGCGGUAGGCCUAACACAUGCAAGUCGAACGGCAGCACAGUAAGAGCUUGCUCUUACGGGUGGCGAGUGGCGGACGGGUGAGGAAUACAUCGGAAUCUACUUUUUCGUGGGGGAUAACGUAGGGAAACUUACGCUAAUACCGCAUACGACCUACGGGUGAAAGCAGGGGAUCUUCGGACCUUGCGCGAUUGAAUGAGCUGAUGUCGGAUUAGCUAGUUGGCGGGGUAAAGGCCCACCAAGGCGACGAUCCGUAGCUGGUCUGAGAGGAUGAUCGGCCACACUGGAACUGAGACACGGUCCAGACUCCUACGGGAGGCAGCAGUGGGGAAUAUUGGACAAUGGGCGCAAGCCUGAUCCAGCCAUACCGCGUGGGUGAAGAAGGCCUUCGGGUUGUAAGGCCCUUUUGUUGGGAAAGAAAAGCAGCAGGUUAAUACCCCGCUGUUCUGACGGUACCCAAAGAAUAAGCACCGGCUAACUUCGUG